AGUGUCUCAAUAUAGCCCUGGAGAAGCUGCUGUCUUUCCUUGCCUCAAAGGUGUAUUGCUGGCUCAAGUUCAAUUUUUUUGGCCACCAGCACCUAUAGUUCUUUGUCUGCAAAGUUUCUUCCCAGCUGCUCAGCCUAGCAGUCGACAAUUUUGUGAAUGGCAGCACAGCCAUUUGGGCCUCUGCAAACUCCCCAAGCAUGCACUCUGUCCUAUCAUUCAGGCUAGUGACCAGAGCACUUGGAGCACAGCUGUUCAAGCAGUCAGGCCAUUUCCAAGCCACAUCCCCAUCUAGCCUGUAUUCUGUCACUUAUGAGAGACAGUGCUGCUGUACUGUUAAAGACAGGAUUAAAAAUAUCCACCACUCUUCCUUCAUCUAUCUACCAAGCAAUUCUUAUCACAGAAGGUAUCAUGUUGGGUAUGCAUGACUCCUGCUACAUGAACCCACACUGACUGUUCCAGAUCAUCAUCCUGGUCCUUGCAUUAGGAUAAGGCUUCCAGAAGGAUAUGCUCCAUCCAGGUUCCAGGGGGUGAGGUGAAGUUGACUGGUCUAUAG
Passer domesticus (house sparrow) is the source of this 553-nucleotide long non-coding RNA. RefSeq lists it as uncharacterized. The transcript has 3 exons. The record is from RefSeq and is a predicted model, not a curated record. NCBI's taxonomy places the organism in Eukaryota, Metazoa, Chordata, Aves, Passeriformes, Passeridae.